This 254-nucleotide ribosomal RNA is filed under the name uncultured bacterium. Its description in RNAcentral is "partial 16S ribosomal RNA". It matches the Rfam family "Bacterial small subunit ribosomal RNA", at positions 79 to 334 of the family's 1533-position model. The record is from RNAcentral.
CUUUCUUUGCUGGCGACCGGCGCACGGGUGAGUAACACGUAUCCAACCUGCCCUUUACUCGGGGAUAGCCUUUCGAAAGAAGGAUUAAUACCCGAUAGUAUAAUGAUUCCGCAUGGUUUCAUUAUUAAAGGAUUCCGGUAAAGGAUGGGGAUGCGUUCCAUUAGGUUGUUGGUGAGGUGACGGCUCACCAAGCCUUCGAUGGAUAGGGGUUCUGAGAGGAAGGUCCCCCACAUUGGAACUGAGACACGGUCCAA